RNAcentral lists this ribosomal RNA (724 nucleotides) under uncultured Planctomycetota bacterium. RNAcentral's name for it is "bacterial SSU rRNA". It matches the Rfam family "Bacterial small subunit ribosomal RNA", at positions 565 to 1278 of the family's 1533-position model. The record is from RNAcentral. Lineage: Bacteria; Pseudomonadati; Planctomycetota.
GAGCACGUAGGUGGGUUUGUAAGUCAGAUGUGAAAGCCUUCUGUUCAACGGAAGAAUUGCAUCUGAAACUACAAGUCUUGAGUGUAGGAGGGGAGAAUGGAACUUCUGGUGGAGCGGUGAAAUCCGUAGAUAUCAGAAGGAACGCCGGCGGCGAAAGCGAUUCUCUGGCCUAUUACUGACACUCAGUGUGCGAAAGCUAGGGGAGCAAACGGGAUUAGAUACCCCGGUAGUCCUAGCCGUAAACGAUGGGCACUAAGUAGAGGGGAUUACCGACGUUCUCUCUGCCGUAGCUAACGCAUUAAGUGCCCCGCCUGGGGAGUACGGCCGCAAGGCUAAAACUCAAAAGAAUUGACGGGGGCUCGCACAAGCGGUGGAGCAUGUGGCUUAAUUCGAUGCAACGCGAAGAACCUUACCGGGGCUUGACAUGGUAGAAGUAGGAACCCGAAAGGGUAACGAACGGUAUCCAGUCCGUGACUAUCACAGGUGUUGCAUGGCUGUCGUCAGCUCGUGUCGUGAGACGUUGGGUUAAGUCCCCUAACGAGCGAAACCCUUGUUUUUAGUUACCAGCGGGUUAUGCCGGGUACUCUAGAAAGACUGCCGUCGUCAAGACGGAGGAAGGUGGGGAUGACGUCAAGUCAUCAUGGCCCUUAUGCCCCGGGCUGCACACGUGCUACAAUGGUCGGUACAAACGGAAGCGAAGCCGAGAGGUGAAGCGAAUCCAAGC